Molecule: long non-coding RNA, 814 nt
Filed under: Neodiprion lecontei (redheaded pine sawfly)
Lineage: Eukaryota; Metazoa; Arthropoda; Insecta; Hymenoptera; Diprionidae
Description: uncharacterized LOC124294590
Source: RNAcentral
UAAUUCGUACGUGCGAAACAGACGGUUGGUUGCAUUAGCCGAUUUUCCAGGAAGGUCUCGGUUUAGGGCCACAACCGAACCUUCAAAGGAGGUAAAUUUUUGUGACCAGUUUUCGGCGGGCAAGGGGACCCAGGUGGGCCUGGGUGCGUUGGAAGGUUCUGCUCUAUCGACUGUACCUAACAGGCUCGCACCGCCAUUCGUGGCAGCCAAGGUAGUGUCGGUUUGGAAGCUUGAGGUUAAGUCGGUACACAGUGCGUACGUGGGACUACUUGUCGACUGCGACUUAGAAAUGUCGAUCAGCUCGAUCAUCCCCGUGGGAAGACGCGCUGAUAACUGAAGAAUGUAUCUUUAGUCAACGGCUGACCAUCGAAGGACCUAGCCGCUUGAGUCUAAAAUCGACAGGAAAGAUAAAUCUGGAAACAACUGCGCAGUUGAGCGGACAUAUGAGAAUCGCACUCCGCAGAUUUCGAGUACCGGGUUCUCUACCUCCUGGAUCCUGCGCUCCAGGUCCGCUACCUGGUGAAACUCGACUUCCGGGAUAAACACUCCGUGGUUCCUGCGCUCUAGGUCUGCUACUUGGUAAAACUCGACUUCCAGGACAAACGCUCCGUAGUUUCUGCGCUCCAAGUCCGCUACCUGGUGAAACUAUCCAUAUAACGAUAUGAUGUUCAUAAUUUCUAAAAAAUUUAUAUUUUGUUAGAUGCAGUAACGAGGAGCUCACAUUUAGCGAGACGACAAGCAUUCAUUAUAAGUUCAGGUUUUUUUCAGAUGUGCUUCAUAAAUAUAUAAAUCCGUAAUUAAGGGAAAAAAUGGA